This 462-nucleotide ribosomal RNA is filed under the name uncultured bacterium. RNAcentral describes it as "partial 16S ribosomal RNA". It matches the Rfam family "Bacterial small subunit ribosomal RNA", at positions 28 to 507 of the family's 1533-position model. The record is from RNAcentral.
GACGAACGCUGGCGGCGUGCUUAACACAUGCAAGUCGAACGGUGAAGCCCUUCGGGGUGGAUUAGUGGCGUACGGGUGAGUAACACGUGAGCAACCUGCCCCUGGCUCUGGGACAACCACAGGAAACGGUGGCUAAUACCGGAUACGACCCGCAUCGGUUUCGAGUGUGGGUGGAAUGUUUUUCGGCUGUGGAUGGGCGCGCGGCCUAUCAGCUUGUUGGUGAUGUGAAGGCUCACCAAGGCGACGACGGGUAGCCGGCCUGAGAGGGCGACCGGCCACACUGGGACUGAGAGACGGCCCAGAAUCCUACGGGAGGCAGCAGUGGGGAAUAUUGCACAAUGGGCGAAAGCCUGAUGCAGCGACGCCGCGUGAGGGAUGACGGCCUUCGGGUUGUAAACCUCUUUCAGCUCCGAAGAAGCGAGAGUGACGGUAGGAGCAGAAGAAGCACCGGCUAACUACGUG